RNAcentral lists this ribosomal RNA (405 nucleotides) under uncultured Beijerinckiaceae bacterium. Its description in RNAcentral is "bacterial SSU rRNA". It matches the Rfam family "Bacterial small subunit ribosomal RNA", at positions 354 to 776 of the family's 1533-position model. The record is from RNAcentral. Lineage: Bacteria; Pseudomonadati; Pseudomonadota; Alphaproteobacteria; Hyphomicrobiales; Beijerinckiaceae.
GUGGGGAAUAUUGGACAAUGGGCGAAAGCCUGAUCCAGCCAUGCCGCGUGAGUGAUGAAGGCCUUAGGGUUGUAAAGCUCUUUUGUCCGGGAAGAUAAUGACUGUACCGGAAGAAUAAGCCCCGGCUAACUUCGUGCCAGCAGCCGCGGUAAUACGAAGGGGGCUAGCGUUGCUCGGAAUCACUGGGCGUAAAGGGCGCGUAGGCGGCCAGAUAAGUCAGGGGUGAAAGCCUGGAGCUCAACUCCAGAAUUGCCUUUGAUACUGUUUGGCUCGAGACCGGAAGAGGUUAGUGGAACUGCGAGUGUAGAGGUGAAAUUCGUAGAUAUUCGCAAGAACACCAGUGGCGAAGGCGGCUAACUGGUCCGGUUCUGACGCUGAGGCGCGAAAGCGUGGGGAGCAAACAGG